CAGUAGCCGCGGGAAUACGUAGGGUGCAAGCGUUAAUCGGAAUUACUGGGCGUAAAGCGUGCGCAGGCGGUUAUAUAAGACAGAUGUGAAAUCCCCGGGCUCAACCUGGGAACUGCAUUUGUGACUGUAUAGCUAGAGUACGGCAGAUGGGGAUGGAAUUCCGCGUGUAGCAGUGAAAUGCGUAGAUAUGCGGAGGAACACCGAUGGCGAAGGCAAUCCCCUGGGCCUGUACUGACGCUCAUGCACGAAAGCGUGGGGAGCAAACAGGAUUAGAUACCCCGGUAGUCCCUGUCUCUUAUAC
RNAcentral lists this ribosomal RNA (301 nucleotides) under uncultured bacterium. RNAcentral describes it as "partial 16S ribosomal RNA". It matches the Rfam family "Bacterial small subunit ribosomal RNA", at positions 509 to 807 of the family's 1533-position model. The record is from RNAcentral.